RNAcentral lists this ribosomal RNA (253 nucleotides) under uncultured bacterium. Its description in RNAcentral is "partial 16S ribosomal RNA". It matches the Rfam family "Bacterial small subunit ribosomal RNA", at positions 524 to 776 of the family's 1533-position model. The record is from RNAcentral.
UACGUAGGUGGCAAGCGUUGUCCGGAUUUAUUGGGUUUAAAGGGUGCGUAGGCGGCUUUGUAAGUCAGUGGUGAAAUAUGGCAGCUCAACUGUCAGGGUGCCAUUGAUACUGCAGAGCUUGAGUACAGAUGAGGUAGGCGGAAUUGAUGGUGUAGCGGUGAAAUGCUUAGAUAUCGUCAAGAACACCGAUAGCGAAGGCAGCUUACUGGGCUGUAACUGACGCUGAGGCACGAAAGUGUGGGGAGCGAACAGG